AACGAACGCUGGCGGCAUGCCUAACACAUGCAAGUCGAACGAGACCUUCGGGUCGAGUUGCGCACGGGUGCGUAACGCGUGGGAACCUGCCCUUAGGUUCGGAAUAACUCCCCGACAGGGGUGCUAAUACCGGAUAAUGUCUUCGGACCAAAGAUUUAUCGCCUUUGGAUGGGCCCGCGUUGGAUUAGCUAGUUGGUAGGGUAAAAGCCUACCAAGGCGAAGAUCCAGAGCUGGUCUGAGAGGAUGAUCAGCCACACUGGGACUGGGACCCGGCCCAGACUCCUACGGGAGGGAGCAGGGGGGAAUAUUGGACAAUGGGCGAAAGCCUGAUCCAGCAAUGCCGCGGGAGUGAUGAAGGCCUUAGGGUUGUAAAGCUCUUUUACCCGGGAUGAUAAUGACAGUACCGGGAGAAUAAGCUCCGGCUAACUCCGUG
This 433-nucleotide ribosomal RNA is filed under the name uncultured bacterium. RNAcentral describes it as "partial 16S ribosomal RNA". It matches the Rfam family "Bacterial small subunit ribosomal RNA", at positions 29 to 507 of the family's 1533-position model. The record is from RNAcentral.